CCUACGGGAGGCAGCAGUGGGGAAUAUUGCACAAUGGGGGAAACCCUGAUGCAGCAACGCCGCGUGAAGGAAGACGGUUUUCGGAUUGUAAACUUCUGUUCUUAGUGAAGAAGAAUGACGGUAGCUAAGGAGCAAGCCACGGCUAACUACGUGCCAGCAGCCGCGGUAAUACGUAGGUGGCAAUCGUUGUCCGGAAUUACUGGGGGGAAAGGUAGCGCAGGCGGGAAGCCAAGUCAGCUGUGAAAACUACGGGCUUAACUUGUAGCAUGCAGUUGAAACUGGUUUUCUUGAGUGAAGUAGGGGUUGGCGGAAUUCCGAGUGUAGCGGUGAAAUGCGUAGAUAUACGGAGGAACACCGGUGGCGAAGGCGGCCAACUGGGCUUUAACUGACGCUGAGGCUCGAAAGUGUGGGGAGCGAACAGGAUUAGAUACCCCAGUAGUC
This 441-nucleotide ribosomal RNA is filed under the name uncultured bacterium. Its description in RNAcentral is "partial 16S ribosomal RNA". It matches the Rfam family "Bacterial small subunit ribosomal RNA", at positions 338 to 795 of the family's 1533-position model. The record is from RNAcentral.